GCACUCUGCCCGUGGCCGCCCGGACCCGGCUGCCCGGCGCGCUGCCAUGGAGCGCAUCGAGGGCGCGGCCGUGGGCCGCUGCGCAGACUCGCCCUACCUGCGGCCUCUCACGCUGCACUACCGCCAGCCCCCACAGUCCACCCUCCACUUGCUGACAGGAUACGUCUCUUUGCAGCGACUUGAGAACGGCACUCAGAAGUCGUGGGACUUCAUGAAGACACAUGACAGUGUGGCCAUUCUCAUGUUCAACUCUUCCCGGCAGAGCCUGGUGUUGGUGAAGCAGUUCCGGCCAGCUGUGUACGUGGGCGAGGUGGAGCGCCUCUUCCCCGGGUCCCUGGCGGCCGUGGCCCAGGACGGACCCCGGGCGCUGCAGGUGGAGCUGCCUGGCUCGGCGGGGGUGACCUGCGAGCUGUGCGCCGGCCUCGUGGGCCAGCCCGGGCUCUCGCUGGAGGACGUGGCCUGUGUGGAGGUUUGGGAGGAGUGCGGCUACUGGCUGGCUCCCUCCGACCUGCGCCGGGUCGCCACCUACAAGCGUCCUCCUCGGCGCUGGGGUCCCAGAGGAUCUGAGGGGCCCGAUCUGGAGCUGGCGUUGAGCCGGGAGGAGGCACUCUGGAAGGUGGGCGACCCCAGAUGAGGUGAGCCCGGGCGGAGUCGUGGCAGAGAGGCCGGCCCAAGCGCGGCCCAGGCUGCAGCGUUUCCACAAGCAGGGCUGUGGCUUGAUCGUGAGGGUGCUGGGGAGCCCAGGAGGGCUCUAGGCAGCAAGCAGCAUGGUAAAGACUUGCGUUUUGGAGGCAAGGGGUGGCUGUGGCAGGGGGGCAGGACUGAGGGGCUGGAGGAGAGGUCAGGGCAGCUGUCCCUGCGGACCCGGGGGCUGGACAGACAGCAGAGAGAUCUCGUGCCUUUUCUUCAUGUGGAGGUGAACCAGGCCACUCACCUGCCGGGCACAGGUGACGAGGCCCGAAGGCACAUUCCUCUUGCUCUGGGUCAAAGGCUGUGCCUGUGUCCUUCACAAGCUGGCGGAACCUGGGACCGGAAACCCCACACGCUGGCGCUUCCAUCAAAGGCGCGGCCUGUGGCCACCGUUGUAAACAGGCCGUCGGGAGCGGACUGUGGCAGAUAAGAGCCUGGGGCGGGGGAAGCAGCUAGGUGAGGCGGGGCGGGAUGGGGUUGGCCCUCCUGGGGGGUGGGGCACGGAAGCUCUGUCAGCCGUCUCUGCCCUCCGCGCCCGGGCAGGUCUGCGAGAGCAGCCUCCGCCCUGCGGGUGUCUGGCUGGCCCGGCGCCCCCGGUCCCCCCGCCCCCCCCGCCCCCCGCACACUCACGCGGGACCUUCCCCUGCGGCUCUGGGACGCGGGCGGGCCCCGCCGUGGCCCUGCCCUCACAGACGGCAGUUCCCGUGGCUGCCCGUUCUCGCCAGUCUGGGCCACCGCACUUCCCCUGGGUGUCUGCCCCCCUCCUGGCGGCCAGCGGCCCGCUCUGGCCACCUGUCCACACCCCUCCACGCCCCAGCUGCCUCAGCAUGGCUGUCCCCAGCCUGGAACUGGUGUCCUGCAGAUGCUGGGGUUGGGGGCUCUCACGGGGCAGGUCACACGGGUCGCCAGGAGGGCCCUUGCUUCCAGCCCGCCUGGAGCCUCGGGUGGGAAGGGAGGCCCUGGCUGAGGGGCUCGCGUGAGCAGAGGGCAGCGGCCUGCCUGGCGUCUGCACUGCCGAAUGUGGCAGAGACCUCGCGGCUUCCGUCAGCCCACAGUUAGGACCUCGAAGUCGCUGCGGGUCAGCCGUCUGCGUCUUGGGAACGGGGCCCAGCGCUCAGGGUUUUGCUGUCCUGCAGUCAGGGUCGGCUGGGCUCGUCUGGGGCUCGGGACCCCCUUCCCAGCGCACACGGUCGCGGGAGAACUCAGCUUCUUGUGGCUGUGUGACCGAGGGCCCCGUUUCCUGGCUGGCUGGUGGCCGGGGGCCACAGUCAGCAGCUUAAGGCCACCUGCGGGCCUGGACCACGUGGCCCCCUCACAGGGCAGCAUGCUUUGUCCGCAAGGCCUGCGGGACGGGCUCGUCUCUCUGACUUCCUCCGUCUCCCCUCUCCAAACCUGCACUGAAGAGCUCACCCAGUUCGGUUAGGCCCACCAACGUGAUCUCUGUGGACGAGUCAAAGUCAUCUGAUUAAGGCCCUUAGUUACACCUGCAGAACCCUUCUGUCUCUGCCAGUGACAUAAGAAUCACAGAAGCCACACCCAGCAUACUGCCAGGUCUGGCGUGGGACUGACCGGCUCCAGCCAGACCAUGUUCUACGCAGAGGUGACCGAUUCCCAGCGGAGCGGCCCGGGCGGGGGCCUGGCAG
Lynx canadensis (Canada lynx) is the source of this 2333-nucleotide RNA transcript. It is a transcript of the gene named nudix hydrolase 14, with no coding region annotated. NCBI's taxonomy places the organism in Eukaryota, Metazoa, Chordata, Mammalia, Carnivora, Felidae. The record is from RefSeq and is a predicted model, not a curated record. The transcript has 7 exons.